This 468-nucleotide ribosomal RNA is filed under the name uncultured bacterium. RNAcentral's name for it is "partial 16S ribosomal RNA". It matches the Rfam family "Bacterial small subunit ribosomal RNA", at positions 28 to 507 of the family's 1533-position model. The record is from RNAcentral.
GACGAACGCUGGCGGCGUGCUUAACACAUGCAAGUCGAACGGAAAGGCACUGCUCUUGCGGGGUGCUCGAGUGGCGAACGGGUGUGUAACACGUGAGUAACCUGCCCUUGACAUUGGGAUAACUUCAGGAAACUGGGGCUAAUAUCCGAUAGGAGCUCCUGCUGCAUGGGGGGGGAUGGAGAGUUUCGGCGGUUGUGGAUGGACUAGCGGCUUAUCAGCUGGUUGGUGGGGUAGUGGCUUACCAAGGCUUUGAAGGGUAGCCGGCCUUAGAGGGUGGCCGGCGACAUUGGGACUGAGAGACGCCCCAGACGCCUACGGGAGGCAGCAGUGGAGAAUAUUGCACAGUGGGCGGAAGUCUGUUGCAGCAACGCCGCGUGCGGGAUGACGUCCUUCGGGUUGUAAACCGCUGUCGCCUGUGACGAAGCGUGAGUGACGGUAAUGGGUAAAGAAGCACCGGCUAACUACGUG